This is a non-coding RNA of Mesocricetus auratus (golden hamster), 87 nucleotides long. The record is from Rfam. NCBI's taxonomy places the organism in Eukaryota, Metazoa, Chordata, Mammalia, Rodentia, Cricetidae.
GUUUAUCCUCAGCUCUGAGAACUGAAUUCCAUGGGUUGUGUUAAUGUCAGACCUGUGAAGUUCAGUUCUUCAGCUGGGAUAGCUCUG